GGCGAGGGAGCGCGCCGGGGGUCCCCUCAACCCGCGGGCGCGCCGCUGAGGGGACGAGUGUCGCCGAGCAGCCGGGGCCUUGGCCGGUGGCGGGGUCCGGGAAGGUCCCCGUCGCCUCCGUGCUCCUCGUUCAGGCCGUAAGGGGGCAACCGGGGAGAAGGUCCCGCCAAUGAGGGGUUUUGCGGGCGGGCCGGCGGAGUAAGCGGCGCCUCCUGUUCCUCCAGCGGGCCACCCGCCCGCUCCCCCACCGCCGCCGGCUCCGGCUCGGCGCAAAGGAUUGAUGUUUAUUCACCAGGCGGUAAAACCGCUCCAGCCGCCCCGGCUUAUUUAUCGCCGCGUGAGUCUCCGCGCUAUCAUUAACCCCGCGACCGAGAAGAGAAGAGGAAGUGGAGCUCAGCAGGGAAAUUAACCCGCCCGAGGCUAAAGCAGCCGCGGGGCCGCAUUCCCCCGCCCGGGCAGCAAGCCCUGCCGCUCUGUGCGGCUCCCGGGCGAGCCGAGGAGCGGGCACCGGCGCUCUCUCCCGCGGGAAAGCCCAGCCCGCCCUGCUCCGCUUCCCUCGGGCCGCCCGUUAACGUCAGGGGGCGGGGGAAGGGGGUCACGGGGGUGUGUGUAAGAGCGGAACGAGCGGCGGCCCGCGCGCAUGCGUUAACGGCGGCCGGUGUGGGGCGGCUCGGGCCGAGGAGCGGGUGAGGUGGCGGAGCCCGGGCCAGGGCGGCUGCCCUGGGGUGCCUGCCCUGAGGGAAGGGGCGGGAGCCUCGGGCCGGCAGUCUCGGGCCGGCAGUCUCGGGCCGGCAGCGAGCCCUGAGGAGCGGGAAGGCGGCUGAGGCUGGGGUGGGGGGAGGAAGGGAGCGUUAGGCGGGGGCUGCGGGGCUGGGCCUGUGCUGUGGGAAGCGGCUGCCGCCCGCGGGGGUGGUGUGGUGGUUGCCGUGGUGUGGCGGUGGUUGUUGUUGUGGUGCGAGGCGGGGAGGGCCGGGGUGGGAAGGUGCGAGGCAGGCCUCGGGGCUGGUCCCGCCUGCUGCCUGCCCUCCCCUUGCUCCCCACGGGCUUUGUGCUGCCUCUUCUCAUUGCUAACGGAGACUUCCCUUUGUCAGAGUGCAGUGUGACUUGUGAGGAGUUCCCUUCCCUGAAGCCUGGACCUGGGUGGUGGUUUUUCUUUUGUGGCCUAGCAA
RNAcentral lists this long non-coding RNA (1169 nucleotides) under Strigops habroptila (Kakapo). Its description in RNAcentral is "lncRNA (ENSSHBG00005001415.1)". Lineage: Eukaryota; Metazoa; Chordata; Aves; Psittaciformes; Psittacidae. The record is from RNAcentral.